Molecule: unclassified non-coding RNA, 432 nt
Filed under: soil metagenome
Description: partial contains 5.8S ribosomal RNA, internal transcribed spacer 2, and large subunit ribosomal RNA
Rfam family: 5.8S ribosomal RNA (bases 1-120)
Source: RNAcentral
GAUGAAGAACGUAGCGAAAUGCGAUACGUAAUGUGAAUUGCAGAAUUCAGUGAAUCAUCGAAUCUUUGAACGCAUAUUGCGCUCUCUGGUAUUCCGGAGAGCAUGCUUGUUUGAGUAUCAGUAAACACCUCAACUUCCAUAUCUUUUUUGAAAUGGGAGUUGGACUUGAGUGAUCCCAACGCUUUUCCUCACCGAAAAGUGGCGGGUUACUUGAAAUGCAGGUGCAGCUGGACUUUUCUCUGAGCUAUAAGCAUAUCUAUGUAGUCUGCCUAAAAACAGAUUAUUACCUUUGCUGCAGCUAACAUAAAGGAGAUUAGUUCUUGUGCUGACUGAUGCAGGAUUCACAAAGACAGGCUUCGGCCGACUUUGUAAACUCGAUCUCAAAUCAAGUAAGACUACCCGCUGAACUUAAGCAUAUCAAUAAGCGGAGGA